This is a microRNA precursor of Gallus gallus (chicken), 102 nucleotides long. The record is from Ensembl. NCBI's taxonomy places the organism in Eukaryota, Metazoa, Chordata, Aves, Galliformes, Phasianidae.
UGAUGUGGAAUUACCCUGAGUAAUGUAGUUUAAGAGGAUAGGUCUUAAGUUUUACAGUGUGAUCAUCCAAUUAAACCACAAAACUCAGGGAAAACUAAAGCA